AUCUCUGUAGAGUCUGCAUAUCAAUAAGCGGAGGAAAAGAAACUAACAAGGAUUCCCUUAGUAACGGCGAGUGAGGCGGGAAGAGCUCAAAUUUGAAAUCUUCAAGGUUUUACCUUGACGAAUUGUAGUUUAAAGAAGUGUUUUCUGUUGAGGUUUCGGUAAAAGUUCUUUGGAAUAGGACAUCAUAGAGGGUGAGAAUCCCGUAUUUGACCGUUAUUUUCAGCUGUGUGAUACACUUUCAAAGAGUCGGAUUGUUUGGGAAUGCAGUCCAAAAUGGGUGGUAAAUUUCAUCUAAAGCUAAAUAUUGGCGAGAGACCGAUAGCGAACAAGUACCGUGAGGGAAAGAUGAAAAGAACUUUGAAAAGAGAGUUAAACAGUACGUGAAAUUGUCAAAAGGGAAGCGUUUGACACCAGUGUUGUUUUCUCGAAAAUCAAUUAAAAAUGGCUUGAUUUUGUGUUGUAUUGACCUUAUCAGCUUUCUUCACUUUUUUCGAGUCUUUCUUAAUGCACUUUUCGGUUAACAAGUCAACAUCAAUUUCUUUUGUUGUAAAAGAGUAUUCGGAAGGUGGCUUUCUUUUCGGAGAAAGUGUUUAUAGCCCUAUACUUCUACAAUCGGAGAGAUUGAGGUCUGCAGCGUAGAUCCUUCGGGGUUAGAUACACUUUGUGCUAAGUUGUAGCUUUUCAUAGACAACUUGUUGACUAUGUAUUAGUCAUUGCGGCUUACUCGCUUAGUGCUAUUUUACCUACGCUUAGGAUGUUGACUGAUAUGUAGUCGUA
RNAcentral lists this ribosomal RNA (777 nucleotides) under uncultured Neocallimastigales. Its description in RNAcentral is "partial large subunit ribosomal RNA". It matches the Rfam family "Eukaryotic large subunit ribosomal RNA", at positions 24 to 644 of the family's 3401-position model. Lineage: Eukaryota; Fungi; Neocallimastigomycota; Neocallimastigomycetes; Neocallimastigales. The record is from RNAcentral.